This 81-nucleotide transfer RNA is filed under the name Drechslerella stenobrocha 248. Its description in RNAcentral is "tRNA-Ser (TGA) (tRNA-Ser-TGA-1-1)". It matches the Rfam family "tRNA". From Rfam's summary of the family: Transfer RNA (tRNA) molecules are approximately 80 nucleotides in length. Their secondary structure includes four short double-helical elements and three loops (D, anti-codon, and T loops). The record is from RNAcentral. Lineage: Eukaryota; Fungi; Ascomycota; Orbiliomycetes; Orbiliales; Orbiliaceae.
GCUGCUAUGUCCGAGUGGUUAAGGAGUGAGACUUGAAAUCUCAUGGGUUCGCCCGCAGAGGUUCGAUCCCUCUUGGCAGCG